UACCAGCACCCCGAGUGGUCGGGACGUUUAUUGGGCCUAAAGCAUCCGUAGCCGGUUCUACAAGUCUUCCGUUAAAUCCACCUGCUUAACAGAUGGGCUGCGAAAGAUACUAUAGAGCUAGGAGGCGGGAGAGGCAAGCGGUACUCGAUGGGUAGGGGUAAAAUCCGUUGAUCCAUUGAAGACCACCAGUGGCGAAGGCGGCUUGCCAGAACGCGCUCGACGGUGAGGGAUGAAAGCUGGGGGAGCGAAUGGG
Molecule: ribosomal RNA, 253 nt
Filed under: uncultured bacterium
Lineage: Bacteria
Description: partial 16S ribosomal RNA
Rfam family: Archaeal small subunit ribosomal RNA
Source: RNAcentral